UCCCUGAAGUUGUAGUCCGACGUGGCAAAUGGUGUGAUGAGCUGGAACGACACGUCAGACCGCUUAAUCAGCAACAUUAGGGCAAAUCACUGGAGCGGCCGGGUCCGUACCUUUUGCUUCAUAUGCUUCUCCGCCUCGUGCACAUCCCCCUCUCUAUCUCUCUUUGUCUCCUGCUUCUUGUCUUGCGGCUGUGCUUCAAGGAUUCGUCUGUGAAUCAUGAGGGCCAAGUGGAAGAAGAAACGUAUGAGGCGCCUGAAACGUAAGCGCCGAAAGAUGAGGCAGAGAUCCAAGUAGGCGUAUGGUUGUCUGGCUACUGUGCUAGAGGCAGGAAAUCAUUAAUUAUCGGUGCCAGUCGGGCGGAUUGGCUAGAUUUUCUAGAGCUUAGAGAUUGUGAAUCUUGGCACGGUUCUUUCGAAGACAGCUGUAGCAAUGGGUUAUAGCUCUGCAAGCUUGAGCACUGUCCAUGCGGAUAGCUACAUCUUGUAAUCGAAUGUGAAUUUCGUCUAUUUUGAGAGGAUA
Molecule: long non-coding RNA, 519 nt
Organism: Physcomitrium patens
Lineage: Eukaryota; Viridiplantae; Streptophyta; Bryopsida; Funariales; Funariaceae
Source: RefSeq, a predicted model, not a curated record